RNAcentral lists this transfer RNA (72 nucleotides) under Marmota monax (woodchuck). RNAcentral describes it as "tRNA.Thr". Lineage: Eukaryota; Metazoa; Chordata; Mammalia; Rodentia; Sciuridae. The record is from RNAcentral.
UGGGUUGUGGCUCAGAGGUAGAGCACCCAUCUAGUAUGCGUGAGGCACUGGGUUCCAUCCUCAGCACCACAU